This 76-nucleotide non-coding RNA is filed under the name Pseudomonas sp. LP_7_YM. The record is from RNAcentral. Lineage: Bacteria; Pseudomonadati; Pseudomonadota; Gammaproteobacteria; Pseudomonadales; Pseudomonadaceae.
GGGAGCCGUAUGACGCGAGAGUGUCACGUACGGUUCUACGAGCGGCUACGGGGGCAGUUCCUGUGGCCGACUCACC